RNAcentral lists this ribosomal RNA (379 nucleotides) under uncultured bacterium. Its description in RNAcentral is "bacterial SSU rRNA". It matches the Rfam family "Bacterial small subunit ribosomal RNA", at positions 28 to 409 of the family's 1533-position model. The record is from RNAcentral.
GACGAACGCUGGCGGCGUGCUUAACACAUGCAAGUCGAGCGGUAAGGCCCUUUCGGGGGUACACGAGCGGCGAACGGGUGAGUAACACGUGGGUGACCUGCCCUCAGCUCUGGGAUAAGCCUGGGAAACCGGGUCUAAUACUGGAUAUGACUCCAUGACGCAUGUUGUGGGGUGAAAGCCUUGUGCGGCUGAGGAUGGGCCCGCGGCCUAUCAGCUUGUUGGUGGGGUGAUGGCCUACCAAGGCGACGACGGGUAGCCGGCCUGAGAGGGCGACCGGCCACACUGGGACUGAGACACGGCCCAGACUCCUACGGGAGGCAGCAGUGGGGAAUCUUGCGCAAUGGGCGAAAGCCUGACGCAGCGACGCCGCGUGAGGGAU